Molecule: ribosomal RNA, 619 nt
Filed under: Phaeotremellaceae sp.
Lineage: Eukaryota; Fungi; Basidiomycota; Tremellomycetes; Tremellales; Phaeotremellaceae
Description: partial large subunit ribosomal RNA
Rfam family: Eukaryotic large subunit ribosomal RNA
Source: RNAcentral
AGCGGAGGAAAAGAAACUAACAAGGAUUCCCCUAGUAACGGCGAGUGAACCGGGAAGAGCUCAAAUUUGUAAUCUGGCGUGCUCCGCGCGUCCGAGUUGUAAUCUAUAGAAGCGUUUUCCGUGCCGGACCGUGUCCAAGUCCCUUGGAACAGGGUAUCAAAGAGGGUGACAAUCCCGUACUUGACACGACUGCCGGUGCUCUGUGAUACGUUUUCAACGAGUCGAGUUGUUUGGGAAUGCAGCUCAAAAUGGGUGGUAAAUUCCAUCUAAAGCUAAAUAUUGGCGAGAGACCGAUAGCGAACAAGUACCGUGAGGGAAAGAUGAAAAGCACUUUGGAAAGAGAGUUAAACAGUAUGUGAAAUUGUUAAAAGGGAAACGAUUGAAGUCAGUCGUGUUCAUUGAAUUCAGCUGGUUCUGCCAGUGUAUUUUCUUUGAACGGGUCAACAUCAGUUUGGAUCGGUGGAUAAAGAUGAGAGGAAGGUGGCACCCUCGGGUGUGUUAUAGCCUCUUGUUGCAUACACUGGUUCAGACUGAGGAACGCAGCUCGCCUUUAUGGCCGGGGUUCGCCCACGUCCGAGCUUAGGAUGUUGACAUAAUGGCUUUAAACGACCCGUCUUGA